Molecule: ribosomal RNA, 253 nt
Filed under: uncultured bacterium
Lineage: Bacteria
Description: partial 16S ribosomal RNA
Rfam family: Bacterial small subunit ribosomal RNA
Source: RNAcentral
UACGGGGGGGGCAAGCGUUGUUCGGAAUUACUGGGCGUAAAGGGCCAGUAGGCGGCCAACUAAGUCCGACGUGAAAUCCCAAGGCUUAACCUUGGAACUGCGUCGGAUACUGGAUGGCUUGAAUUCGGGAGAGGGAUGCAGAAUUCCAGGUGUAGCGGUGAAAUGCGUAGAUAUCUGGAGGAAUACCGGUGGCGAAGGCGGCAUCCUGGACCGAGAUUGACGCUGAUGAGCGAAAGCUAGGGGAGCAAACGGG